AAAUCCAUACAAAGGCAACUUUCUAACGGUGCGAAUUGGCAGCGAGAGAGAGGCGAGGGCAGAGAAAAUCAAAGAGCGAAAUUCUCUCCAUACAUUCUCUCUUGGGACCUUCGACGCAUCUCUCUCUCACAGAUGGCUCUUCGAACUCUCCCGAAUAUCUGAUCCCUCGUUUAUCGGGAGGGAGAUCGAGUGUCUUUCGAGGAAUGGCUGGUAAACCGUAGUAGUUGUCCGUGAGGACGGAUUUACGAUCCCGGCGCCGAAAAUCUUCUGUGUGGCUUGUACCUCAUAACGUAUCCUACUGAGGCAAAGAUGAUUUAGCGUACGUGGUGGUUUCUUUUGUUUUUGUUGGUUUCAUCGCACUUCUAUUCGUAUGCAGGAGUGAUUAUGAGAGCAUUUCAUUUAAGCUUUUGAGGCGGCACAGGUAAAUGCCUUUUGGAACUCUAGUAGAGUAUGGAUGGGCCUCUUAAUAAAAAAAAAUAGGUUUGCCCUGUCUUAAUAAGAAAAGUGGGUGGGACUCUGAUUUAUACUGUAGAAAGACAAUGGCACUAUUGGGUAUAGUCAGCUCAUGGAAAAUUGGCGGCCUUCUAUAAUUGAAUAAAAUCUUGGACCGUCAAUGAAUUGGGCCUAAGCCCGAAUA
This is a long non-coding RNA of Tripterygium wilfordii, 637 nucleotides long. RefSeq lists it as uncharacterized. The record is from RefSeq and is a predicted model, not a curated record. The transcript is spliced from 2 exons. Lineage: Eukaryota; Viridiplantae; Streptophyta; Magnoliopsida; Celastrales; Celastraceae.